GACUGCUUCCUGCAUUAAUUAUGGAUGGUGCUUCGUAAAUCCUAACGUAUUUAAGAUGGAUGUGAUGCGAUUGGGCACUGAUUCUAGGAAAUAAUGGUCGCUACCUCCUUCGAUGGAGUAAAAUUUUGGAAAAUCACUUGAAGCCCCAUGGGGAUGUACCGUGUGGCAAUGUAACAGUCUGCAAAGCAUUGCCUAAGUUUGUUGUUGAGGUUGGGAGGACGUGCCAUUUAUGGCAUAGGGAAUAGCUGUGCCGUAAAGGCCGACGAUUGGUGAAUAGUGGAGGUGCUCAUACUUAUAUAGUGGGAUUGAUGGUUGGCGAGAACUUCACUUUCCAUCCUUCUUUCCGUAACACCUACAAAAAUUUUGUCUCUUCCACCACCAUAUUGCCCUCAAAGAAAUCCAUAAAAGACCUGAUCAAGGAGAGGAGGGCGUCGUGAAAAAGGCUCUUUUGUCCAAGA
Molecule: long non-coding RNA, 458 nt
Filed under: Elaeis guineensis (African oil palm)
Lineage: Eukaryota; Viridiplantae; Streptophyta; Magnoliopsida; Arecales; Arecaceae
Description: long non-coding RNA (EGUI_LNC028407)
Source: RNAcentral